AUUGAACGCUGGCGGCAGGCCUAACACAUGCAAGUCGAGCGGAUGAAGGGAGCUUGCUCCUGGAUUCAGCGGCGGACGGGUGAGUAAUGCCUAGGAAUCUGCCUGGUAGUGGGGGAUAACGUCCGGAAACGGGCGCUAAUACCGCAUACGUCCUGAGGGGGAAAGUGGGGGAUCUUCGGACCUCACGCUAUCAGAUGAGCCUAGGUCGGAUUAGCUAGUUGGUGGGGUAAAGGCCUACCAAGGCGUCGAUCCGUAACUGGUCUGAGAGGAUGAUCAGUCACACUGGAACUGAGACACGGUCCAGACUCCUACGGGAGGCAGCAGUGGGGAAUAUUGGACAAUGGGCGAAAGCCUGAUCCAGCCAUGCCGCGUGUGUGAAGAAGGUCUUCGGAUUGUAAAGCACUUUAAGUUGGGAGGAAGGGCAGUAAGUUAAUACCUUGCUGUUUUGACGUUACCAACAGAAUAAGCACCGGCUAACUUCGUG
Molecule: ribosomal RNA, 484 nt
Filed under: uncultured bacterium
Lineage: Bacteria
Description: partial 16S ribosomal RNA
Rfam family: Bacterial small subunit ribosomal RNA
Source: RNAcentral